UGGUCAGUUUCGUUAUUCUAUGUGAAGGAAUGUUGAAGAGGUUCAAGGUUGAGUUGGAGAAACUCAAAACCCGAAAAUAUGUUGUGUGAUUUUUCCUCCUUUUUGUACUCAGUUUAUGCUUUCUAUGAAGUUUAAUAUUUGAGUUGUAUUAAUUUGGGUUGUUAUGCCUUUGUAUUCCGUACUUUAAUAAAUCGAAUGAAUGAGAAUGGUCCUCUCUUUUAUUUCUUGGCUUUAUAUUUCUUCGAAUGCUUAAUAACGACAACC
Molecule: long non-coding RNA, 264 nt
Filed under: Lathyrus oleraceus (garden pea)
Lineage: Eukaryota; Viridiplantae; Streptophyta; Magnoliopsida; Fabales; Fabaceae
Description: Pisum sativum (pea) long non-coding RNA (PSAT_LNC033308)
Source: RNAcentral